GACAGAGGGUGCAAACGUUGCUCGGAAUUACUGGGCGUAAAGCGCGUGUAGGCGGGUAUAUAAGUCAGAUGUGAAAUCCCUGGGCUCAACCCAGGAACUGCAUUUGAAACUGCAUAUCUAGAGUGUCGGAGAGGAAAGCGGAAUUCCUGGUGUAGAGGUGAAAUUCGUAGAUAUCAGGAGGAACACCGGUGGCGAAGGCGGCUUUCUGGACGAUUACUGACGCUGAGACGCGAAAGCGUGGGGAGCAAACAGG
This 253-nucleotide ribosomal RNA is filed under the name uncultured bacterium. RNAcentral's name for it is "partial 16S ribosomal RNA". It matches the Rfam family "Bacterial small subunit ribosomal RNA", at positions 524 to 776 of the family's 1533-position model. The record is from RNAcentral.